This 2923-nucleotide ribosomal RNA is filed under the name Escherichia coli F11. Its description in RNAcentral is "bacterial LSU rRNA". It matches the Rfam family "Bacterial large subunit ribosomal RNA". The record is from RNAcentral. Lineage: Bacteria; Pseudomonadati; Pseudomonadota; Gammaproteobacteria; Enterobacterales; Enterobacteriaceae.
GAAACAUCUUCGGGUUGUGAGGUUAAGCGACUAAGCGUACACGGUGGAUGCCCUGGCAGUCAGAGGCGAUGAAGGACGUGCUAAUCUGCGAUAAGCGUCGGUGAGGUGAUAUGAACCGUUAUAACCGGCGAUUUCCGAAUGGGGAAACCCAGUGUGUUUCGACACACUAUCAUUAACUGAAUCCAUAGGUUAAUGAGGCGAACCGGGGGAACUGAAACAUCUAAGUACCCCGAGGAAAAGAAAUCAACCGAGAUUCCCCCAGUAGCGGCGAGCGAACGGGGAGGAGCCCAGAGCCUGAAUCAGUGUGUGUGUUAGUGGAAGCGUCUGGAAAGGCGCGCGAUACAGGGUGACAGCCCCGUACACAAAAAUGCACAUGCUGUGAGCUCGAUGAGUAGGGCGGGACACGUGGUAUCCUGUCUGAAUAUGGGGGGACCAUCCUCCAAGGCUAAAUACUCCUGACUGACCGAUAGUGAACCAGUACCGUGAGGGAAAGGCGAAAAGAACCCCGGCGAGGGGAGUGAAAAAGAACCUGAAACCGUGUACGUACAAGCAGUGGGAGCCUCUUAAUGGGGUGACUGCGUACCUUUUGUAUAAUGGGUCAGCGACUUAUAUUCUGUAGCAAGGUUACCGAAUAGGGGAGCCGAAGGGAAACCGAGUCUUAACUGGGCGUUAAGUUGCAGGGUAUAGACCCGAAACCCGGUGAUCUAGCCAUGGGCAGGUUGAAGGUUGGGUAACACUAACUGGAGGACCGAACCGACUAAUGUUGAAAAAUUAGCGGAUGACUUGUGGCUGGGGGUGAAAGGCCAAUCAAACCGGGAGAUAGCUGGUUCUCCCCGAAAGCUAUUUAGGUAGCGCCUCGUGAAUUCAUCUCCGGGGGUAGAGCACUGUUUCGGCAAGGGGGUCAUCCCGACUUACCAACCCGAUGCAAACUGCGAAUACCGGAGAAUGUUAUCACGGGAGACACACGGCGGGUGCUAACGUCCGUCGUGAAGAGGGAAACAACCCAGACCGCCAGCUAAGGUCCCAAAGUCAUGGUUAAGUGGGAAACGAUGUGGGAAGGCCCAGACAGCCAGGAUGUUGGCUUAGAAGCAGCCAUCAUUUAAAGAAAGCGUAAUAGCUCACUGGUCGAGUCGGCCUGCGCGGAAGAUGUAACGGGGCUAAACCAUGCACCGAAGCUGCGGCAGCGACACUAUGUGUUGUUGGGUAGGGGAGCGUUCUGUAAGCCUGUGAAGGUGGCCUGUGAGGGUUGCUGGAGGUAUCAGAAGUGCGAAUGCUGACAUAAGUAACGAUAAAGCGGGUGAAAAGCCCGCUCGCCGGAAGACCAAGGGUUCCUGUCCAACGUUAAUCGGGGCAGGGUGAGUCGACCCCUAAGGCGAGGCCGAAAGGCGUAGUCGAUGGGAAACAGGUUAAUAUUCCUGUACUUGGUGUUACUGCGAAGGGGGGACGGAGAAGGCUAUGUUGGCCGGGCGACGGUUGUCCCGGUUUAAGCGUGUAGGCUGGUUUUCCAGGCAAAUCCGGAAAACCAAGGCUGAGGCGUGAUGACGAGGCACUACGGUGCUGAAGUGACAAAUGCCCUGCUUCCAGGAAAAGCCUCUAAGCAUCAGGUAACAUCAAAUCGUACCCCAAACCGACACAGGUGGUCAGGUAGAGAAUACCAAGGCGCUUGAGAGAACUCGGGUGAAGGAACUAGGCAAAAUGGUGCCGUAACUUCGGGAGAAGGCACGCUGAUAUGUAGGUGAAGCGACUUGCUCGUGGAGCUGAAAUCAGUCGAAGAUACCAGCUGGCUGCAACUGUUUAUUAAAAACACAGCACUGUGCAAACACGAAAGUGGACGUAUACGGUGUGACGCCUGCCCGGUGCCGGAAGGUUAAUUGAUGGGGUUAGCGGUAACGCGAAGCUCUUGAUCGAAGCCCCGGUAAACGGCGGCCGUAACUAUAACGGUCCUAAGGUAGCGAAAUUCCUUGUCGGGUAAGUUCCGACCUGCACGAAUGGCGUAAUGAUGGCCAGGCUGUCUCCACCCGAGACUCAGUGAAAUUGAACUCGCUGUGAAGAUGCAGUGUACCCGCGGCAAGACGGAAAGACCCCGUGAACCUUUACUAUAGCUUGACACUGAACAUUGAGCCUUGAUGUGUAGGAUAGGUGGGAGGCUUUGAAGUGUGGACGCCAGUCUGCAUGGAGCCGACCUUGAAAUACCACCCUUUAAUGUUUGAUGUUCUAACGUUGGCCCCUAAUCGGGGUUGCGGACAGUGUCUGGUGGGUAGUUUGACUGGGGCGGUCUCCUCCUAAAGAGUAACGGAGGAGCACGAAGGUUGGCUAAUCCUGGUCGGACAUCAGGAGGUUAGUGCAAUGGCAUAAGCCAGCUUGACUGCGAGCGUGACGGCGCGAGCAGGUGCGAAAGCAGGUCAUAGUGAUCCGGUGGUUCUGAAUGGAAGGGCCAUCGCUCAACGGAUAAAAGGUACUCCGGGGAUAACAGGCUGAUACCGCCCAAGAGUUCAUAUCGACGGCGGUGUUUGGCACCUCGAUGUCGGCUCAUCACAUCCUGGGGCUGAAGUAGGUCCCAAGGGUAUGGCUGUUCGCCAUUUAAAGUGGUACGCGAGCUGGGUUUAGAACGUCGUGAGACAGUUCGGUCCCUAUCUGCCGUGGGCGCUGGAGAACUGAGGGGGGCUGCUCCUAGUACGAGAGGACCGGAGUGGACGCAUCACUGGUGUUCGGGUUGUCAUGCCAAUGGCACUGCCCGGUAGCUAAAUGCGGAAGAGAUAAGUGCUGAAAGCAUCUAAGCACGAAACUUGCCCCGAGAUGAGUUCUCCCUGAGACUUAGAGUCUCCUGAAGGAACGUUGAAGACGACGACGUUGAUAGGCCGGGUGUGUAAGCGCAGCGAUGCGUUGAGCUAACCGGUACUAAUGAACCGUGAGGCUUAACCUU